RNAcentral lists this unclassified non-coding RNA (306 nucleotides) under fungal sp. Its description in RNAcentral is "partial contains 5.8S ribosomal RNA, internal transcribed spacer 2, and large subunit ribosomal RNA". The stretch from base 1 to 71 matches the Rfam family "5.8S ribosomal RNA", at positions 84 to 154 of the family's 154-position model. Lineage: Eukaryota; Fungi. The record is from RNAcentral.
GUGAGUCAUCGAAUCUUUGAACGCACAUUGCGCCCGCCAGUAUUCUGGCGGGCAUGCCUGUCCGAGCGUCAUUUCAACCCUCGAACCCCUCCGGGGGAUCGGCGUUGGGGAUCGGGACCCCUCACACGGGUGCCGGCCCCUAAAUACAGUGGCGGUCUCGCCGCAGCCUCUCCUGCGCAGUAGUUUGCACAACUCGCACCGGGAGCGCGGCGCGUCCACGUCCGUAAAACACCCAACUUUCUGAAAUGUUGACCUCGGAUCAGGUAGGAAUACCCGCUGAACUUAAGCAUAUCAAUAAGCGGAGGA